This 30-nucleotide non-coding RNA is filed under the name Mus musculus (house mouse). The record is from RNAcentral. Lineage: Eukaryota; Metazoa; Chordata; Mammalia; Rodentia; Muridae.
UCCAUAGAUUUAGCCCUUAGUGAUACUAGC